Molecule: ribosomal RNA, 450 nt
Filed under: uncultured bacterium
Lineage: Bacteria
Description: partial 16S ribosomal RNA
Rfam family: Bacterial small subunit ribosomal RNA
Source: RNAcentral
GUGGGGAAUAUUGGACAAUGGGCGCAAGCCUGAUCCAGCAAUGCCGCGUGCAGGAAGAAGGCCUUCGGGUUGUAAACUGCUUUUGUACGGAACGAAACGGUCCUGGCUAAUAUCCGGGGCUAAUGACGGUACCGUAAGAAUAAGCACCGGCUAACUACGUGCCAGCAGCCGCGGUAAUACGUAGGGUGCGAGCGAUAAUCGGAAUUACUGGGCGUAAAGCGUGCGCAGGCGGUUUGGUAAGACAGGUGUGAAAUCCCCUGGCUCAACCUGGGAACUGCACUUGUGACUGCAAGGCUAGAGUGUGUCAGAGGGAGGUGGAAUUCCGCGUGUAGCAGUGAAAUGCGUAGAGAUGCGGAGGAACACCGAUGGCGAAGGCAGCCUCCUGGGCCUGCACUGACGCUCAUGCACGAAAGCGUGGGGAGCAAACAGGAUUAGAUACCCCUGUAGUCC